GCUCACCGUGUGGGAUUGGUCGGUGCAGUUUGAACCCAAAGCCCAGACAUUGCUCAAAAACCCUCUUUAUGUGGAAAAGCCAAAACUGGACAAAGGCCAGCGGAAAGGAAUGCGCUUCAAACUCUGUCUCCAGGCCCAGAAUUUCUCCCCCACAGAGUCCACAAAGGAGAGAGCAGUGAUGCAUCAACGACAACUUUCUUUGCCACUUACACAGUCUAAGUCAUCUCCCAAAAGAGGAUUUUUCAGGGAAGAAACAGAUCAUUUAAUUAAAAACCUUCUGGGCAAGAGAAUUAGCAAACUUAUUAAUUCUUCUGAUGAGCUCCAAGACAACUUUCGAGAGUUCUAUGACAGCUGGCAUAGCAAGUCCACUGACUACCAUGGUUUGUUGUUACCGCAUAUCGAGGGGCCCGAAAUCAAAGUCUGGGCCCAGCGCUACCUGCGUUG
Molecule: small RNA, 444 nt
Filed under: Pongo abelii (Sumatran orangutan)
Lineage: Eukaryota; Metazoa; Chordata; Mammalia; Primates; Hominidae
Description: processed transcript
Source: RNAcentral